Non-coding RNA from Danio rerio (zebrafish), 154 nucleotides. Lineage: Eukaryota; Metazoa; Chordata; Actinopteri; Cypriniformes; Danionidae. The record is from Ensembl.
CCGUUCACGAGGCUCUAAAUAUACUGUAUUUUUCUCACUGUUUGGUCAAACAGGAGGAAUUACAGCAGCAUUAUUAACUGACACACUAUAGUAAAGAUGGAGACUGAGGAAGAACCCUGCAGAAUAAAAGAAGAAGAAACAGAGGAACUGAUAG